UUUUAUAAGAAUAUGAUGUUGGUUCAGAUUAAGCGCUAAAUAAGGACAUGACACAUGCGAAUCAUACGUUUAUUAUUGAUAAGAUAAUAAAUAUGUGGUGUAAACGUGAGUAAUUUUAUUAGGAAUUAAUGAACUAUAGAAUAAGCUAAAUACUUAAUAUAUUAUUAUAAAAAAAUAAUUUAUAUAAUAAAAAGGAUAUAUAUAUAAUAUAUAUUUAUCUAUAGUCAAGCCAAUAAUGGUUUAGGUAGUAGGUUUAUUAAGAGUUAAACCUAGCCAACGAUCCAUAAUCGAUAAUGAAAGUUAGAACGAUCACGUUGACUCUGAAAUAUAGUCAAUAUCUAUAAGAUACAGCAGUGAGGAAUAUUGGACAAUGAUCGAAAGAUUGAUCCAGUUACUUAUUAGGAUGAUAUAUAAAAAUAUUUUUAUUUUAUUUAUAAAUAUUGAAUAUUUAUAAUAAUAAUAAUAUAUAUAAAUUGAUUAAAAAUAAAAUCCAUAAAUAAUUAAAAUAAUGAUAUUAAUUACCAUAUAUAUAUUUUAUAUGGAUAUAUAUAUUAAUAAUAAUAUUAAUUUAUUAUUAUUAAUAAUAUAUUUUAAUAGUCCUGACUAAUAUUUGUGCCAGCAGUCGCGGUAACACAAAGAGGGCGAGCGUUAAUCAUAAUGGUUUAAAGGAUCCGUAGAAUGAAUUAUAUAUUAUAAUUUAGAGUUAAUAAAAUAUAAUUAAAGAAUUAUAAUAGUAAAGAUGAAAUAAUAAUAAUAAUUAUAAGACUAAUAUAUGUGAAAAUAUUAAUUAAAUAUUAACUGACAUUGAGGGAUUAAAACUAGAGUAGCGAAACGGAUUCGAUACCCGUGUAGUUCUAGUAGUAAACUAUGAAUACAAUUAUUUAUAAUAUAUAUUAUAUAUAAAUAAUAAAUGAAAAUGAAAGUAUUCCACCUGAAGAGUACGUUAGCAAUAAUGAAACUCAAAACAAUAGACGGUUACAGACUUAAGCAGUGGAGCAUGUUAUUUAAUUCGAUAAUCCACGACUAACCUUACCAUAUUUUGAAUAUUAUAAUAAUUAUUAUAAUUAUUAUAUUACAGGCGUUACAUUGUUGUCUUUAGUUCGUGCUGCAAAGUUUUAGAUUAAGUUCAUAAACGAACAAAACUCCAUAUAUAUAAUUUUAAUUAUAUAUAAUUUUAUAUUAUUUAUUAAUAUAAAGAAAGGAAUUAAGACAAAUCAUAAUGAUCCUUAUAAUAUGGGUAAUAGACGUGCUAUAAUAAAAUGAUAAUAAAAUUAUAUAAAAUAUAUUUAAUUAUAUUUAAUUAAUAAUAUAAAACAUUUUAAUUUUUAAUAUAUUUUUUUAUUAUAUAUUAAUAUGAAUUAUAAUCUGAAAUUCGAUUAUAUGAAAAAAGAAUUGCUAGUAAUACGUAAAUUAGUAUGUUACGGUGAAUAUUCUAACUGUUUCGCACUAAUCACUCAUCACGCGUUGAAACAUAUUAUUAUCUUAUUAUUUAUAUAAUAUUUUUUAAUAAUUAUUAAUAUUAUUAAUUUUUAUUUAUUUAUAUCAGAAAUAAUAUGAAUUAAUGCGAAGUUGAAAUACAGUUACCGUAGGGGAACCUGCGGUGGGCUUAUAAAUAUC
This 1617-nucleotide non-coding RNA is filed under the name Saccharomyces cerevisiae (brewer's yeast). RNAcentral describes it as "ribosomal RNA". It matches the Rfam family "Bacterial small subunit ribosomal RNA". Lineage: Eukaryota; Fungi; Ascomycota; Saccharomycetes; Saccharomycetales; Saccharomycetaceae. The record is from RNAcentral.